CUUGAUGGAUGAUCAUGGUGUGUAUCACUCCAUAAAGAAUAUGGAUGUUUCAAGGUAACUAAACUGGUUAUCUGCACCAUUCCGAUCCCAUUUUAUCACGGUCAAAUAUUAAAGGAUGUCUCCAUCCUUUUUAAGUGUUUGGAUGCUUACCUCCAAUUAACAAACCAAGGACAAACCUUGGUAAUUUAAGUGCUAUCAGACAAAUCAGAAAUAUGAGUAUCCCAUUGGGAAAUUGCAUGAAGUCAAGGUUUAUUGUACAACACCAGUUUCUGAUUUUUAAUGACAAGUUUAUUUGGACAGUGCUGUGAUUUUUCUGGGAUCCUCAGUUGACUCAGCCUUUUAACCAGUCAACCGCAUGUGAAUAAGAUGACGCUAAUGGUCUACAUAGGACAUUUCGUCUUGGGAACAUCCGAAGUAGACGUGAAGGCAAGUUCUAGCAAGGUGACUCAGGGGGCUCAAACUCCAUCCCUCCCAAUGACCCCACGUUCCCACUGGACGAGUACAGUUGAUAAAGGACGUAAAGAUCAGCUCCCCCUUGGCCUUUAUAGAUUAACGAGUAUGAGCUGUCAGCACCUCUCAUCUCCAUUCCCAAUGAUUUACGUCAAGUUUAAUGAGCCUGCCAGGGCCAGAUAACACACUCACAAUGACUUCUGGGUCUGCUAUAU
Sinocyclocheilus anshuiensis is the source of this 665-nucleotide long non-coding RNA. Lineage: Eukaryota; Metazoa; Chordata; Actinopteri; Cypriniformes; Cyprinidae. The record is from Ensembl.